RNAcentral lists this ribosomal RNA (253 nucleotides) under uncultured bacterium. RNAcentral's name for it is "partial 16S ribosomal RNA". It matches the Rfam family "Bacterial small subunit ribosomal RNA", at positions 524 to 776 of the family's 1533-position model. The record is from RNAcentral.
UACAGAGGAUGCAAGCGUUAUCCGGAAUGAUUGGGCGUAAAGCGCACGUAGGCGGCUUGUUAAGUCAGGGGUGAAAUCCUGGAGCUCAACUCCAGAACUGCCUUUGAUACUGGCGAGCUUGAGUUCGGGAGAGGUGAGUGGAACUGCGAGUGUAGAGGUGAAAUUCGUAGAUAUUCGCAAGAACACCAGUGGCGAAGGCGGCUCACUGGCCCGAUACUGACGCUGAGGUGCGAAAGCGUGGGGAGCAAACAGG